RNAcentral lists this ribosomal RNA (562 nucleotides) under Staphylococcus aureus. RNAcentral describes it as "partial 23S ribosomal RNA". It matches the Rfam family "Bacterial large subunit ribosomal RNA", at positions 789 to 1355 of the family's 2925-position model. The record is from RNAcentral. Lineage: Bacteria; Bacillati; Bacillota; Bacilli; Caryophanales; Staphylococcaceae.
UUGAAAAGUGAGCGGAUGAACUGAGGGUAGCGGAGAAAUUCCAAUCGAACCUGGAGAUAGCUGGUUCUCUCCGAAAUAGCUUUAGGGCUAGCCUCAAGUGAUGAUUAUUGGAGGUAGAGCACUGUUUGGACGAGGGGCCCCUCUCGGGUUACCGAAUUCAGACAAACUCCGAAUGCCAAUUAAUUUAACUUGGGAGUCAGAACAUGGGUGAUAAGGUCCGUGUUCGAAAGGGAAACAGCCCAGACCACCAGCUAAGGUCCCAAAAUAUAUGUUAAGUGGAAAAGGAUGUGGCGUUGCCCAGACAACUAGGAUGUUGGCUUAGAAGCAGCCAUCAUUUAAAGAGUGCGUAAUAGCUCACUAGUCGAGUGACACUGCGCCGAAAAUGUACCGGGGCUAAACAUAUUACCGAAGCUGUGGAUUGUCCUUUGGACAAUGGUAGGAGAGCGUUCUAAGGGCGUUGAAGCAUGAUCGUAAGGACAUGUGGAGCGCUUAGAAGUGAGAAUGCCGGUGUGAGUAGCGAAAGACGGGUGAGAAUCCCGUCCACCGAUUGACUAAGGUUUCC